Molecule: ribosomal RNA, 883 nt
Filed under: uncultured bacterium
Lineage: Bacteria
Description: bacterial SSU rRNA
Rfam family: Bacterial small subunit ribosomal RNA
Source: RNAcentral
AGAGUUUGAUCAUGGCUCAGGAUGAACGCUAGCGGCAGGCCUAAUACAUGCAAGUCGAGGGGCAGCAGUACUUUUCGGAGUAGCUGGCGACCGGCGCACGGGUGCGUAACGCGUAUGCAAUCUACCUACAGCAGAGGGAUAGCCCGUGGAAACAUGGAUUAAUACCUCAUAAUACAGGGGGCCCACCUGGGCAUAUUGUUAAAGAUUUAUCGGCUGUAGAUGAGCAUGCGUCCCAUUAGCUAGUUUGUACGGUAACGGCGUACCAAGGCGAUGAUGGGUAGGGGUUCUGAGAGGAUGAUCCCCCACACUGGUACUGAGAUACGGACCAGACUCCUACGGGAGGCAGCAGUAGGGAAUAUUGGUCAAUGGACGAGAGUCUGAACCAGCCAUGCCGCGUGCAGGAAGACGGCCUUCUGGGUUGUAAACUGCUUUUCUCAGGGAAGAAAAUGGUCUUGCGAGACAAAUUGCCGGUACCUGAGGAAUAAGCACCGGCUAACUCCGUGCCAGCAGCCGCGGUAAUACGGAGGGUGCGAGCGUUGUCCGGAUUUAUUGGGUUUAAAGGGUGCGUAGGCGGCCUAUUAAGUCAGUGGUGAAAGGUAUCAGCUUAACUGAUGAUGUGCCAUUGAAACUGACAGGCUUGAGUACAGACGAGGUAGGCGGAAUUUAUGGUGUAGCGGUGAAAUGCAUAGAUACCAUAAAGAACACCGAUAGCGAAGGCAGCUUACUAGGCUGAGACUGACGCUGAGGCACGAAAGCGUGGGGAGCGAACAGGAUUAGAUACCCUGGUAGUCCACGCUGUAAACGAUGAUUACUGGAUGUGUGCGAUAAACAGUACGCGCCUGAGCGAAAGCGUUAAGUAAUCCACCUGGGGGAGUACGAUCGC